RNAcentral lists this transfer RNA (69 nucleotides) under Melanostigma atlanticum. RNAcentral's name for it is "tRNA-Ala". It matches the Rfam family "tRNA". From Rfam's summary of the family: Transfer RNA (tRNA) molecules are approximately 80 nucleotides in length. Lineage: Eukaryota; Metazoa; Chordata; Actinopteri; Perciformes; Zoarcidae. The record is from RNAcentral.
AAGGCUUUAGCUUAAUUAAAGUGUCUGUUUUGCAUGCAGUAGAUGUGGGGAAAUAUCCCGCAGGUCUUA